Long non-coding RNA from Strongylocentrotus purpuratus (purple sea urchin), 995 nucleotides. RefSeq lists it as uncharacterized. The transcript is spliced from 3 exons. NCBI's taxonomy places the organism in Eukaryota, Metazoa, Echinodermata, Echinoidea, Camarodonta, Strongylocentrotidae. The record is from RefSeq and is a predicted model, not a curated record.
CCCACGUGCUCAUAUAAUUGCAACGUACGUCAGCCAUAUUCUGUCCAUUUGUCUGGAUCAGUUGCCGGGGAGUACCAACACUGCAUGAUUCCUCUACCCGUUCAGAUCCAGCUACCCCUACCUCGAUCAUCCAGAACAGCAUCAACAGCACCAAGGACCCCUUCGACAUCGACUCCAUCAACCUCCAGAACACUGUCGACCCCAACGACCCCAUUGACCUCAACAUUCAGAAAUAUGGAUGUCGAAGUUGUACCACCACAAGCUAGACAAGAUUUUGAUUCCGACCAACCCAUUCUUUAAAGGUCCAUUGCCUUAGGAAAUUUAAACUUUUAUGUCUUGUAUCAAGACCCUUUUAAACCAACAUAAUAACAAUUGUUUCAUAAAUAAAUGCCUCCUUAUAUUUUUUACAAUUUUUUGAAAACCUCUCCAAGUUGCUCGUCUAAUGGUGGACCCCGCCCCUUACAAUUCUCAGAGUUCCUCGGAAUGAUUGACCAAAGGAUUAGUGAUGUUAUAUCAAGAACGAUCUCCGCUUAGGCAAGCUACGGUGCUUGCUAGCCAGCUCUGCAGGCAUUAUGUUUUGUACACAAACAUAAACAAUAACUUUUGUUAUUAAAUAGUGUGCUAUGCAUCUUUACUUGUUAUUUAUUGUGGUGAAAUUUCACUAAUGGCCCAAUUUUAAAAAGAGAGCUAUACCAUGAGUCGAAGAAGGUCGUAAUUGAUUUGAAUGCCUGUAUAACGUGUCAACUAAAUGCAUGCUAUAAAGAAUUUCAAAGGUAAGAAAAAAAUGUUUCAUAUAUCUAAGUGACUGAAUGUUUUUCGUACUACCUUCUUCUCAAUUUAAAGAAUAUUGAAAGUGGUAUAUCAGAGUGAAGAAACUUGUGUUUUUCCCUUUACAAGCUCUGCUCUUUCUUACUUCACUUUCAAAUUUCCUCUCUUGUUAUAUAAACAUUUAGCGAUUGCUUUACUUCACACAUUCAAGCAAUGUAUACUGUCCC